GAUGAAGAACGCAGCGAAAUGCGAUAAGUAAUGUGAAUUCCAGAAUUCAGUGAAUCAUCGAAUCUUUGAACGCACAUUGCGCCCGCCAGUAUUCUGGCGGGCAUGCCUGUUCGAGCGUCAUUUCAACCAUCAAGCCCUGCUUGCGUUGGGGUCCUGCGGCUGCCCGCAGGCCCUGAAAACCAGUGGCGGGCUCGCUAGUCACACCGAGCGCAGUAAUACAUCUCGCUUUGGGCGUGCGGCGGGUUCUUGCCGUUAAACACCCCCUUUUUACCAAGGUUGACCUCGGAUCAGGUAGGAAUACCCGCUGAACUUAAGCAUAUCAAUAAGCGGAGGA
Molecule: unclassified non-coding RNA, 334 nt
Filed under: soil metagenome
Description: partial contains 5.8S ribosomal RNA, internal transcribed spacer 2, and large subunit ribosomal RNA
Rfam family: 5.8S ribosomal RNA (bases 1-120)
Source: RNAcentral